Molecule: ribosomal RNA, 352 nt
Filed under: Staphylococcus pseudintermedius
Lineage: Bacteria; Bacillati; Bacillota; Bacilli; Caryophanales; Staphylococcaceae
Description: partial 23S ribosomal RNA
Rfam family: Bacterial large subunit ribosomal RNA
Source: RNAcentral
CGAAAACGAAUUCUCUCUUGAGUGGAUCCUGAGUACGACGGAGCACGUGAAAUUCCGUCGGAAUCUGGGAGGACCAUCUCCUAAGGCUAAAUACUCUCUAGUGACCGAUAGUGAACCAGUACCGUGAGGGAAAGGUGAAAAGUACCCCGGAAGGGGAGUGAAAGAGAACUUGAAACCGUGUGCUUACAAGUAGUCAGAGCCCGUUAAUGGGUGAUGGCGUGCCUUUUGUAGAAUGAACCGGCGAGUUACGAUCUGAUGCAAGGUUAAGCAGAAAAUGUGGAGCCGUAGCGAAAGCGAGUCUGAAUAGGGCGAAUGAGUAUUUGGUCGUAGACCCGAAACCAGGUGAUCUACC